UAUCCACUGUGGGCGUAGGAGAUUUGAGGAGAACAUUCCCUAGUACGAGAGGACCGGGAAUGACGCACCUCUGGUGUUCCUGUUGUCGUGCCAACGGCAUCGCAGGGUAGCUAUGUGCGGAACGGAUAAGCGCUGAAAGCAUCUAAGCGCCAAGCCUCCUCCAAGACCAGAUCUCCCUUUCUACUUCGGUAGAACUAAAGGCAGGUUGUAGACUACGACCUUGAUAGGCUGGAUGUGUACGCACAGCGAUGUGUUUAGCUAACCAGUACUAAUCUGCCGUGAGGCUUGAUCUUAU
This 295-nucleotide ribosomal RNA is filed under the name Lentisphaerota bacterium. Its description in RNAcentral is "Lentisphaerae bacterium (aquatic metagenome) partial 23S ribosomal RNA". It matches the Rfam family "Bacterial large subunit ribosomal RNA", at positions 2639 to 2925 of the family's 2925-position model. The record is from RNAcentral. Lineage: Bacteria; Pseudomonadati; Lentisphaerota.